GUAAUACGUAGGGCGCAAGCGUUAUCCGGAAUUAUUGGGCGUAAAGAGCUCGUAGGCGGUUUGUCGCGUCUGCUGUGAAAUCUGGGGGCUCAACCCCCAGCCUGCAGUGGGUACGGGCAGACUAGAGUGCGGUAGGGGAGAUUGGAAUUCCUGGUGUAGCGGUGGAAUGCGCAGAUAUCAGGAGGAACACCGAUGGCGAAGGCAGAUCUCUGGGCCGUAACUGACGCUGAGGAGCGAAAGGGUGGGGAGCAAACAGGCUUAGAUACCCUGGUAGUCCACCCCGUAAACGUUGGGAACUAGUUGUGGGGUCCAUUCCACGGAUUCCGUGACGCAGCUAACGCAUUAAGUUCCCCGCCUGGGGAGUACGGCCGCAAGGCUAAAACUCAAAGGAAUUGACGGGGACCCGCACAAGCGGCGGAGCAUGCGGAUUAAUUCGAUGCAACGCGAAGAACCUUACCAAGGCUUGACAUACACGAGAACGCUGCAGAAAUGUAGAACUCUUUGGACACUCGUGAACAGGUGGUGCAUGGUUGUCGUCAGCUCGUGUCGUGAGAUGUUGGGUUAAGUCYCGCAACGAGCGCAACCCUCGUUCUAUGUUGCCAGCACGUAAUGGUGGGAACUCAUGGGAUACUGCCGGGGUCAACUCGGAGGAAGGUGGGGAUGACGUCAAAUCAUCAUGCCCCUUAUGUCUUGGGCUUCACGCAUGCUACAAUGGCCGGUACAAAGGGCUGCAAUACCGCGAGGUGGAGCGAAUCCCAAAAAGCCGGUCCCAGUUCGGAUWGAGGUCUGCAACUCGACCUCA
RNAcentral lists this ribosomal RNA (802 nucleotides) under Microbacterium aurantiacum. Its description in RNAcentral is "bacterial SSU rRNA". Lineage: Bacteria; Bacillati; Actinomycetota; Actinomycetes; Micrococcales; Microbacteriaceae. The record is from RNAcentral.